This 113-nucleotide small nuclear RNA is filed under the name Trialeurodes vaporariorum (greenhouse whitefly). Its description in RNAcentral is "U2 spliceosomal RNA". It matches the Rfam family "U2 spliceosomal RNA". From Rfam's summary of the family: U2 is a small nuclear RNA (snRNA) component of the spliceosome (involved in pre-mRNA splicing). The record is from RNAcentral. Lineage: Eukaryota; Metazoa; Arthropoda; Insecta; Hemiptera; Aleyrodidae.
AUCGCUUCUCGGCCUUAAUGGCUAAGAUCAAAGUGUAGUAUCUGUUCUUAUCAGCUUAAUAUCUGAUACGACCCGCACUGCGGGUCUAGUAUAUUAAACUUAUUAUAGCGUUU